Clostridium estertheticum is the source of this 138-nucleotide non-coding RNA. The record is from Rfam. NCBI's taxonomy places the organism in Bacteria, Bacillati, Bacillota, Clostridia, Eubacteriales, Clostridiaceae.
AGUAAAAUAAAUGAUAUUCCGUAGAUAGUAGGUGCGAAAGCGUAAAAGACAACAUACCUACCGAGGAUUCCAAUAAAUGUGCUUGUGUACAGAUAUUAGGUCUCUUCGUGUCUACGGAGAGACUUUAAUUUUCUUAUA